UAAUACGGAGGGUGCAAGCGUUGUUCGGAAUUACUGGGCGUAAAGGGCGUGUAGGCGGUUAGGAAAGUCAGAUGUGAAAUCCCUUAGCUCAACUAAGGAAGUGCAUUUGAAACUGCUUAACUAGAGUACAAGAGGGGAAAGUGGAAUUCCCAGUGUAGAGGUGAAAUUCAUAGAUAUUGGGAGGAACACCGGUGGCGAAGGCGACUUUCUGGCUUGAUACUGACGCUGAGACGCGAAAGCGUGGGGAGCAAACAGGAUUAGAUACCCUGGUAGUCCACGCCGUAAACGAUGGGCACUAGGUGUAGGAAGUGUUGACCCUUUCUGUGCCGAAGCUAACGCAUUAAGUGCCCCGCCUGGGGAGUACGGUCGCAAGGCUA
This 377-nucleotide ribosomal RNA is filed under the name uncultured delta proteobacterium. RNAcentral's name for it is "bacterial SSU rRNA". It matches the Rfam family "Bacterial small subunit ribosomal RNA", at positions 521 to 896 of the family's 1533-position model. Lineage: Bacteria; Deltaproteobacteria. The record is from RNAcentral.